GAUCAACAUAGUUGGUGGUAAGUAUUAUCUUGAAUACCUUUGUCUAACCUGGUCUCCCUGUCACAAUUCUACAUCUAUUUUUUAUUAAGCAUUCAUGAAGCAUUUACCUCAUUUACUAAGCUUUAUUUUAUAAUUCAAUCGAACUAUUUAGAUAAUCUUUUCACUGUAUCAAAACUGUAUCAAAACAUAUCAUGUAUAAGCUAUAUCUGUGCUGUAAAAUGACAAUCCUAAACUACUAGAGCGUAGUUCAUUCAUUAAAAUUAGAUACCCACGUCACUAUUGAAAACUUUAAUAUCAUCUGGUUUAUGUAAAUAUCCGGUUAUAAUGUAUAAUAGUUAAAAAUAGAACUUUGAUAAAUUGUGUCUAAGCAACAGAAUAGCACAUUAUGUAAACACAACUUAAUAGUCAGGUGGGCUAUUAGAGGGUCGGAAUGUUAAUGUAUGGAGUAUAAAUAUCCCCUUGUCUCCAAAUAUACUUGACCUUCAUGUGCAGAUCAAUAAGUUUACAUUAUACUAAUCCACCGGCAAUUUUUGACAGUGACGUCAUUUUGUCAACAAACUAUAAAUAACCACGGUAUAUCCCCAAACAAAUGUAUACUUAUAAUUUUUUUUUUUGGUUGGAUUUAACGUCGCACCGACACAUGAUAGGUCAUAUGGCGACUUUCCAGCUUUAAUGGUGGAGGAAGACCCCAGGUGCCCCUCCGUGCAUUAUUUCAUCACAAGCGGGCACCUGGGUAGAACCACCGACCGUCCGUAAGCCAGCUGGAUGGCUUCCUCACAUGAAGAAUUCAACGCCCCAAGUGAGGCUCGAACCCACAUCGAUGAGAGGCAAGUGAUUUGAAGUCAGCGACCUUAACCACUCGGCCACGGAGGCCCCUGUAUACUUAUAAUAGAUAGAAAUAUGUCUACACAGUACUAGAGCCGAUUUACGCAAUCGAAUACCGCCGGAAGUAGAACAUUUAUGUCAACACCGGUUUCGUAUUUUCACGUGAAAACGGCCCAAAACUGAGAGGUUAUCAACAAAUUAUAAGUUUACGGGUACCAUGAGGAUUUUUCAUGCAUUUAAACGACAGAAGUACAAGCGAACAGAUGACACAUUAAAGUGGCUGCAGAAGCUUGAAAAGUUCGAUAGAGCAGGGGCAGUCAAAACAGUGGGAUAAUACUUCUAUAGUGUCCAAGAUAUCUAGUCAGGUUGAUAGAAGUGAAAGAUGGUCUGAUGGUACAAUGAUAUACAAAUGAUACUCUUUAACAAGUUUAACAUGUCAAUGUGUAAAAUGUUCUGUGGAUUCAUAUGAUGAGAAUACCAGUGUUGAUCUGUAUGACUUAAUUAAACACAGUUAUUGAUACCUUCAGAUAUUUACCUGUGAAAUCUUCAGUAUCACCGUUCAGCUAUUGUUCAAGAUCAGUGUCUGCAGCCUGCACAGUUUAGUAUAGAGGAGCCUUCUGAAUCAAUUUUGUUACAUAUUUGCUGUUAUUGUAGGACACACAUAUAGAGAGCAACAAGUCCUGUCCAGCCGUGCAUGUAAAUAUGAUUCAGAAACUUUGAGAAUAUGUAAACAUUACACUGUUAUAAUUUUCAAAAUACUGUGUCUUGUAGUGUAUCAAUACUGUUUUGUCUCAGUUUAUAGCACAGUAUGUUCACAAAUCAAACUUAACAUCAUAGUGAUCAGUAUUAUUAAAAUCAUUAAUUAGUUGUAAGGUGACAAAAUUUAAUUUCAUGCAAAACCGCAGUAAAACGUUUGAUAAUUUUCGCUUUUAAAGUUGUAAGUUUAAAGUUGGCAUAAAUUGUUUUUCUCCUUCAUAAAUCUAAAAAGUGAUUGGUCAUUAUAAUUGCAAUAUCAUUUUAGUAUGACAAAGUUUAUAUUGAACUAAAACACUAAUGUAAAUUUUUGAACUAGUCAAUGCAUUUUCUUCAGUCUUAAAACAUUUGUUUAUCGUACGUGUCAUGGCCCAUAACUCCUCCAUAUUACUUGUGUUUUGUCCUUUUUCGUUUCACUGAAGAAUAAGUAGAGGUAUUGUACAUCCAUUUUCUAGCAUCCUGAUUUUGUAAAGUAUUGUAUGUAAGCUUUUAUCUCGGAAUUAUGUCUCAUCCAAAGGUGGGGAGAGGUAUUGUUUAUGCCUUCUCGUCUAUCCGCAUUAAGCCUGUCUGGCUUUAAGAGGACAAGCUGCUGGCCAGAUUUUGAUUAAACUUCACAGGACUGAUCAGUACUAAGCAUUGUGUUGUGCAUAUGGCUUGCAUGUUUCGUUUCGAUGCACUAAAUUGCAGCCAGAGCUAAAAAUAGAAAAAUCUUGUCGGCUUUCACAGGUUAAAACUACUUAACAGAUUUUGAUGAAAUUCACAGGAGUGAUCAGUACCAAGUAUAUUUUUGCAUAUCACCGACACUUUCCAUUUUGCUGCACAAAAUAGCCGCCAUAGCUAAAGGUAUACAUAGGUGGGAGACAUGUUUUGUCAUAAAAAUACCUAAAACACUUUCCACUUUGUUAAUGAAAAAUGUAUCAAACUUCUUACAAUUGCAAACUGUAAUAAUUUGACAUUAAAUGCACUAGUUCCAUAACUGCAUUUGGCUUUUUUCAUAAUUAUUGCCCUUUCUUACCAUAGCAAUAUUUUGUGUAACAUGUUACCUCAUUCAGCAUCCUAAGAUCAGAAAGUUCUAUGACUCAGAAAUGUUGGCCCUUUUGUACUUGUCAUGAGUAUGUUUUCAGUAUUUUAUAUUGUCAUUACUUUUUGUUGUGCCAGUUUACGGAAAUGUAGACUUAGUUGUCCAAAUGGUGUGCCUGUGCCUGGCCUGAUUUGUUUGUCUGGACAAUAUAUUAUUGAUUAGUCUUCACGAAACUUUGCAGGUUAAUUUCCUUUAGUUCCCUGUCAACUUUGAUAGUGGCAUGGUUACAUUAGAAACACUAAAGUGAUGUCACCACUGUACUAGUCAAACGUUUUGUAUUUCAGAUUUUAUAUCACAUUAUAGGCUACUGGUCUUUAGCAGCCUUCAUAAAACUUUCAUAAAAGUUUCCAAAAAUGUUGUAUUUUGAUUUGAACUGGCAUUAUUCAAACAGUAAGAAGUAGUACUAUAAGGCAACAUUUGACCUAUUUUCCAGUACUUUUUGAUUUUCUCUGUUACUAUGAAGUUGCCUUUUCCUAGAAAUUGGUUGGCUUAUUUUUGAUGAUCUUAUGUUUUUAAUGAAUUGUAGCUAUGUUCUUUAUCUCAUGAAAACGUCCAUUUUUAUAUAAUUCAUAUUUUUACUGUCAGCAAAGUGCAUUACCAUUUAUCAUAAUAAGCUACUGUAUAGCUACUGUACAGUAUAUAAAUUACAGGUGAUAAUUCUCACCUUCAUAGCAAAUCAGUUCUCACCUUUAUAACCAGUUUAGAAAGCUUGAUUGAAUUAGGGCUAAAUAAACAACGUGAUAAGAUACAACAGUGUUUUUAUCAUAUUUUUAAUAAUCAAAUUUUUUAACAAUUACAUUUCAUCAUUGCUGUUGUUUUUUAAUCAAAAAUAUAAAAAAAAAUGCAUUCAGGCACAUAGCUUUUAGAAAUAAUAAAGUAUGUGUAUUUUGAACAAUGAUAUCUCUUUAUUGCUGGAUUUUAUUAUACAUAAAAGAAACGUUAUUUAGACAACACAAGGGGAAUUAUGCAUUUUUAAUAUAUAAAACCCUUCUGUCCAUAUUCCAUUUUAUCUAUUAAAAAUGCAACUGAACGCUUCUUUAAUUUCUAAUAAAAUCCAGCAAUUAUCUUUUUUUUUUCUUUUUUUUUUCGUUACUUUUGAUAAAAAGAUCAUAAUCAUUGAAUAAACAAACUUUUAAUUUCUUUUAUUAAGUUUUAAAUAAUUAUUUAAAGGUUAAGGAGUGAGAAUUGCUUUGCUAUAAGAGAUAUAAUUUAAUUGGCCGGGACAUUAAUCAACAUCAAUUAAAAAAACAUUUGUGUACAUUCUAAAAAAAUAAAAAAAAGCAUUUCAAUCAAUGAAAUGCAAAACACAGGAAAUAACCAAUUUAUCUGUAGGCAAUAAAAGUCAUGAUUCUCUGACAAUAAUUAGGCUACAUGUCAAGUCUACAGGGGUUUUAUGGACCCUUAUCAGACUGGAACAGAUAGGAUCUUGUAUAUUGGGGAUUAAAAAAAUCUGGUAUUUGAGGGGGGGGGGGGGGG
Long non-coding RNA from Mercenaria mercenaria, 4135 nucleotides. RefSeq lists it as uncharacterized. NCBI's taxonomy places the organism in Eukaryota, Metazoa, Mollusca, Bivalvia, Venerida, Veneridae. The record is from RefSeq and is a predicted model, not a curated record. The transcript is spliced from 5 exons.